GAAAUGCGAUAAGUAAUGUGAAUUGCAGAAUUCAGUGAAUCAUCGAAUCUUUGAACGCACAUUGCGCCUGGCAGUAUUCUGCCAGGCAUGCCUGUCCGAGCGUCAUUUCACCACUCAAGCUCUGCUUGGUGUUGGAGGACCCGCGUUUAGUCGCGGGCCGCCGAAAUGCAUCGGCUGUUGUAUAUACAGCUUCCCUGUGUAGUAAAUGCUUAGCUUUACACUUUGAAACUUUUAUAUAACAUGCCGAAAAACCCUUAACUUUUGAAAGGUUGACCUCGGAUCAGGUAGGAAUACCCGCUGAACUUAA
This 307-nucleotide unclassified non-coding RNA is filed under the name uncultured Microascales. RNAcentral describes it as "sequence contains ITS1". The stretch from base 1 to 105 matches the Rfam family "5.8S ribosomal RNA", at positions 50 to 154 of the family's 154-position model. Lineage: Eukaryota; Fungi; Ascomycota; Sordariomycetes; Microascales. The record is from RNAcentral.